This 776-nucleotide ribosomal RNA is filed under the name uncultured Enterococcaceae bacterium. Its description in RNAcentral is "bacterial SSU rRNA". It matches the Rfam family "Bacterial small subunit ribosomal RNA", at positions 28 to 776 of the family's 1533-position model. The record is from RNAcentral. Lineage: Bacteria; Bacillati; Bacillota; Bacilli; Lactobacillales; Enterococcaceae.
GACGAACGCUGGCGGCGUGCCUAAUACAUGCAAGUCGAACGCUUUUUCUUUCACCGGAGCUUGCUCCACCGAAAGAAAAAGAGUGGCGAACGGGUGAGUAACACGUGGGUAACCUGCCCAUCAGAAGGGGAUAACACUUGGAAACAGGUGCUAAUACCGUAUAACAAGUAAAACCGCAUGGUUUUACUUUGAAAGGCGCUUUUGCGUCACUGAUGGAUGGACCCGCGGUGCAUUAGCUAGUUGGUGAGGUAACGGCUCACCAAGGCAACGAUGCAUAGCCGACCUGAGAGGGUGAUCGGCCACAUUGGGACUGAGACACGGCCCAAACUCCUACGGGAGGCAGCAGUAGGGAAUCUUCGGCAAUGGACGAAAGUCUGACCGAGCAACGCCGCGUGAGUGAAGAAGGUUUUAGGAUCGUAAAACUCUGUUGUUAGAGAAGAACAAGGAUGAGAGUAAAAUGUUCAUCCCUUGACGGUAUCUAACCAGAAAGCCACGGCUAACUACGUGCCAGCAGCCGCGGUAAUACGUAGGUGGCAAGCGUUGUCCGGAUUUAUUGGGCGUAAAGCGAGCGCAGGCGGUUUCUUAAGUCUGAUGUGAAAGCCCCCGGCUCAACCGGGGAGGGUCAUUGGAAACUGGGAAACUUGAGUGCAGAAGAGGAGAGUGGAGUUCCAUGUGUAGCGGUGAAAUGCGUAGAUAUAUGGAGGAACACCAGUGGCGAAGGCGGCUCUCUGGUUUGUAACUGACGCUGAGGCUCGAAAGCGUGGGGAGCAAACAGG